UGGGGAUUAUUGCACAAUGGGCGAAAGCAUGAUGCAGCGCCGCCGCGUGGGGGAUGACGGCCUUCGGGUUGUAAACUUCUUUUGCCCUGAACAAGGCGCACCAUGGGGUGUGUUGAGUGUAGGGGUUGAUUCGCGCCGGCUAACUCCGUGCCAGCAGCCGCGGUAAUACGUAGGGCGCGGGCGUUGUCCGGAAUUAUUGGGCGUAAAGGGGUUGUAGGUGGUUGGUUGCGUCUGUCGUGAAAGCUCAUGGCUUAACUGUGGGUUUGCGGUGGGUACGGGCUGGCUGGAGUGCAGUAGGGGAGGCUGGAAUUCCUGGUGUAGCGGUGGAAUGAGCAGAUAUCAGGAGGAAUACCGGUGGCGAAGGAGGGUCUCUGGGCUGUUACUGACACUGAGGAGCGAAAGCAUGGGGAGCGAACAGG
RNAcentral lists this ribosomal RNA (419 nucleotides) under bacterium. RNAcentral's name for it is "partial 16S ribosomal RNA". It matches the Rfam family "Bacterial small subunit ribosomal RNA", at positions 355 to 776 of the family's 1533-position model. The record is from RNAcentral.